GACUGUCUCAUUUUAUUUGUUUUAAAAUUUAAUUUUUUAGUUAAAAAGCUAAAAUUCUAUUGGAAGACGAGAAGACCCUAUAGAUCUUUACAUAAUUUUAUUUAAAUAUUUAUAUAUUAAUAUUUUUAUAUAUCUUUGUGUUUUGUUGGGGUGACAAAAAUAUAUAUUUAACUUUUUUAUCUACAUAACAUUGAUUUAUGAAUAUUAGAUCCAUUACUAUUGAUUACUAGACUAAGUUACCUUAGGGAUAACAGCGUAAUCCUCCUCCAGAGUUCAUAUUUACAGGAUGGGCUUGCGACCUCGAUGUUGGAUUAAGGAUAAUAAUUAGGUGUAGCAGCUUAAUUUAUAGGUCUGUUCGACCUUUAAAUUCUUACAUGAUCUGAG
This 384-nucleotide ribosomal RNA is filed under the name Libellula luctuosa (widow skimmer). RNAcentral's name for it is "partial 16S ribosomal RNA". It matches the Rfam family "Bacterial large subunit ribosomal RNA", at positions 2048 to 2609 of the family's 2925-position model. The record is from RNAcentral. Lineage: Eukaryota; Metazoa; Arthropoda; Insecta; Odonata; Libellulidae.